Molecule: microRNA precursor, 95 nt
Filed under: Mus musculus (house mouse)
Lineage: Eukaryota; Metazoa; Chordata; Mammalia; Rodentia; Muridae
Description: predicted gene, 54817 (ENSMUSG00002076306.1)
Source: RNAcentral
CAUUUUUAAAAUCCAUAUAUAUAUAUGUGUGUGUGUGUGUGUGUGUGUAUGUAUACAUACAUACACACACACACACACACACACACACAUAUAUA